This 468-nucleotide ribosomal RNA is filed under the name uncultured Sphingobacteriales bacterium. RNAcentral's name for it is "bacterial SSU rRNA". It matches the Rfam family "Bacterial small subunit ribosomal RNA", at positions 910 to 1382 of the family's 1533-position model. Lineage: Bacteria; Pseudomonadati; Bacteroidota; Sphingobacteriia; Sphingobacteriales. The record is from RNAcentral.
UUGACGGGGCCGCACAAGCGAGGAGCAUGUGGUUUAAUUCGAUGAUACGCGAGGAACUUACCUGGGCUCGAACGUAAGAUGACUGUAGGUGAAAGCUUACAUCUCUUCGGAGCAUUUUACGAGGUGCUGCAUGGUUGUCGUCAGCUCGUGCCGUGAGGUGUCGGGUUAAGUCCCAUAACGAGCGCAACCCCUACCUUUAGUUGCCAUCAGGUUAAGCUGGGGACUCUAAAGGAACUGCCUACGCAAGUAGUGAGGAAGGCGGGGAUGACGUCAAAUCAGCACGGCCCUUACGUCCAGGGCUACACACGUGCUACAAUGGCCGAUACAGAGGGCAGCUACCUGGUGACAGGAUGCAAAUCUCCAAAGUCGGUCUCAGUUCGGAUCGGAGUCUGCAACCCGACUCCGUGAAGUUGGAUUUGCUAGUAAUCGCGCAUCAGCCAUGGCGCGGUGAAUACGUUCCCGGGCCUU